GGGCCUAUAGCUCAGUUGGUCAGAGCGGCCGGCUCAUAACCGGCUGGUCCCUGGUUCAAGUCCAGGUGGGCCCA
Molecule: transfer RNA, 74 nt
Filed under: Deltaproteobacteria bacterium
Lineage: Bacteria; Pseudomonadati; Myxococcota; Myxococcia
Description: tRNA-Ile
Rfam family: tRNA
About the family: Transfer RNA (tRNA) molecules are approximately 80 nucleotides in length. Their secondary structure includes four short double-helical elements and three loops (D, anti-codon, and T loops).
Source: RNAcentral